CUCUCCUGCCUGCUUCUGUGUGAUAUGUUUGAUAUUGGGUUGUUUGGUCAGGAGCCAACUGAAUAUCGAACAUACUCUCACGGAGGCGGGCAAUUCGGCAUCAGCCUCU
RNAcentral lists this microRNA precursor (109 nucleotides) under Mustela putorius furo (domestic ferret). RNAcentral's name for it is "microRNA 190b (ENSMPUG00000020360.1)". The stretch from base 12 to 87 matches the Rfam family "mir-190 microRNA precursor family". Lineage: Eukaryota; Metazoa; Chordata; Mammalia; Carnivora; Mustelidae. The record is from RNAcentral.